GCUAAGUUGCUGAGGCUGGUCUCAAACUUGGAAUCCUCCUGCCUCAGCUCCCAAGGUACUACAGACCCGCAAGAUGGAGACAGAAUCGGGAUUGAUGGGAUUCAGCAAUUCUGUGACGAUCUAAGGCUGGACCCCACCAGCAUCAGUGUUCUGGUCAUAGCAUGGAAGUUCAGGGCUGCCACUCAGUGCGAAUUCAGCAGGAAGGAGUUCAUGGACGGCAUGACCGAGCUGGGGUGUGACAGCACCGAGAAGCUCAGAACCCUUCUGCCCAGCCUAGAGCAAGAGCUGCAGGACUCCGUGAAGUUCAAGGAU
This 312-nucleotide long non-coding RNA is filed under the name Marmota monax (woodchuck). The record is from RNAcentral. Lineage: Eukaryota; Metazoa; Chordata; Mammalia; Rodentia; Sciuridae.